UUCAUCUUUGGGAACCACACAAGAGAGGAACUUCUUUUUCAUCCUUUCUCAUCCUCUCUUUGUUUUCUCUUUCUCUUCCCUCUUUCUCUUUCUUUCUGUCUUCUCUUUCUUACAAAAGUAGAACCACAAAAGUCAUGUAAUCUGAUUUGAAAAAAAUUAGGUUUCCAACAAAUAUUUUCAUUCCCUGUUUCUCUCGCUCUCCACGCCUUUCCUUUCUCUCUUCUAUCUUCUCUCUUCUCAUCUCUUCCCCCUCCCAAACCCUAAAGCCGCAGCUGCACGUUUCACCGCCGCUACCCUUCUCAUAUCUACACGUUUUUCCUUUUCGUUUUCUUUAACUUAUUAUUUUUAACUUUCUCUGUUUUACCAUGUUUGUGGGUUUAGAACAUUGAUAGUUUUAUUUUGGUUUGUUUGUGUUUUUUAUAUCUUCAUGUUGUUUGUGUUUGUUAAUGUUUUUCUGUUAAAACCUUAUAUUCAUCACUGAUUACAAUUGUUUUGAUUUGUUGACAGGUUUGGAGUUUUCCCCUUAUUUUGCAGAUUUUCUUACUCGGUUGUACUCUUCGUCGUCCAUGGUUUUGCUUCGUCAAGCGACUCAACAACAACGUUUCUUCUUCGAUUUUCUCAAUCCUUGAUAAAACCCUCUCAUCAUUGCAAUAUUCGAGGUCUUCAAUUUUCAAUUUCACUUUAUUUUUUUUCAAUUCAAAUUUCUAGGGUUUUUGUUUUUGUAAAUUCGUAAUGCUUUUCGUUUUUGUUGUUUUCUAAUUUAGGUAGUUCGUUACUUCAUUCUUUUCCUUUUCUGUUGAUUCGUCUAUUAGGGUUUCAUUUUCUUAUACUCGUGAGUCUAUUUUUAUCUUUUACUGAAAAAAAUCGAAAUCAUGUUUUCGAGUAAAUUGUAAUGGAAGCAAUAUAGGGUAGAAGAUUUAUUUGUUUUCUCUGGUAAAAAAAUACACACUUGCUUUCUGAUAAAAACCACUGUUGAUUAUACUAUAUUAUUAUACCAAAAUUAUAUUUGUUUAUUAUCAAGCUAUCAUAUCAUAUGAUUUAUUAUAUAUUAGUAUUAAUUUAAUUUAAUUAAAUCAAGUUCUCCGAGUUCAGAUUGUGCAGUGGAACUUUCUAAUGCUUUGUUAUUGCUUAAUGUGGUAGUAUAUAAUGUAAUGAUAUAAGGAAGUAAGUUAAGAGAAAACAAAGAUGGGUGUGACUUUACUUAAGUACCUAAAAUAUAAUUCUCAAUAAAUAUGAUGGCAGAUUUAAAGACAUAUUUCAGGAGGUAUAUGAAGAAAGGUUGCAGCAAAAGUUUGAAGAACAUUCAAUAUGGGUUGUUUUGAUGUCCAUGAACUAAUUAUUUUUUAUGCAAUUUUGUAGCUAAUAUCUCCCUGUUAUGUACAAAAAUCUUAUUUGUCUGCAGAUUAGACUAUGCUCUACAAUGAAAUAUUUCUGUGGAGCCAAGAAAGACUCAAUCCUUGGCGAGGGCCUUAUAAAACUAGGACAAUCCCGAGAUGAUAAAUUGAGAUGAGUGACACUCAAAGUAGAUGAAGGGGAUAUUACUUUUGCAUUGCAGGUAAUCUUUCAUCACUUGGUUUUUAAUCCCCCUAAGAUUAUUGUGCUUGAGUUGAUAGUUAUCACUGUUUCUUUGCCACUAAUAAAUUUCAUCAAACACGGUAUCCGCUUUUUUCGAAAUUGUUUUCAAUGAUCUUGCUUACUGGUGGUGGCAACAGUUUCAGAAGCAAGAGAUUUUAGAGAAAUUUCCUGCUUACUGGUGGUGGCAACAGUGUCAGAAGCAAGAGAUUUUAGAGGAAUUUUAUUUAUUUAUUUCUAGAGAAUAAUAUAGCAAUUGAUGUAAUCAUUAAUUAUAAACAUUAAGAUUUCACAUUAAUAAAGUGAUUCUUUUCUCAUACUAUACCAGCCUCAAAUAUUGAGUUUUGAGAUUCAUUGCACAAUCUUCAAUCCAAUGCAGUAAUUACACACUUCAAUUGAUAUAUGGUUGAUUCUUAUUAG
Vicia villosa (hairy vetch) is the source of this 1992-nucleotide long non-coding RNA. RefSeq lists it as uncharacterized. Lineage: Eukaryota; Viridiplantae; Streptophyta; Magnoliopsida; Fabales; Fabaceae. The transcript has 3 exons. The record is from RefSeq and is a predicted model, not a curated record.